AACGAACGCUGGCGGCAUGCCUAACACAUGCAAGUCGAACGAGACCUUCGGGUCUAGUGGCGCACGGGUGCGUAACGCGUGGGAAUCUGCCCUUGGGUUCGGAAUAACAGUUAGAAAUGACUGCUAAUACCGGAUGAUGUCUACGGACCAAAGAUUUAUCGCCCAAGGAUGAGCCCGCGUAGGAUUAGGUAGUUGGUGGGGUAAAAGCCUACCAAGCCGACGAUCCUUAGCUGGUCUGAGAGGGUGAUCGGCCACAUUGGGACUGAGCACACGGCCCAGACUCCUACGGGAGGCAGCAGUGGGGAAUAUUGCACAAUGGGCGAAAGCCUGAUCCAGCAAUGCCGCGUGAGUGAUGAAGGCCUUAGGGUUGUAAAGCUCUUUUACCCGGGAUGAUAAUGACAGUACCGGGAGAAUAAGCUCCGGCUAACUCCGUGCCAGCAGCCGCAGUAA
RNAcentral lists this ribosomal RNA (450 nucleotides) under uncultured bacterium. RNAcentral describes it as "partial 16S ribosomal RNA". It matches the Rfam family "Bacterial small subunit ribosomal RNA", at positions 29 to 523 of the family's 1533-position model. The record is from RNAcentral.